Molecule: ribosomal RNA, 1409 nt
Filed under: Choaspes benjaminii (Indian awkling)
Lineage: Eukaryota; Metazoa; Arthropoda; Insecta; Lepidoptera; Hesperiidae
Description: 16S ribosomal RNA
Source: RNAcentral
GGGGAAAAAUUAAUAAAUAAAAUAAUAAUAAAAAAAAUUUUAAUAAUAAUAUAUUUAUAUUUUAAUGGGGGUUAAAGUAUAUUUAUAGAAAAAAUUAAAAGUUUUAUAGUGAAUUAGUAUUGUGAAAGAAUUUUGAAAUAGUUUAAAUAAUAAUUAAGUUAAAAGUAAAUUUUAUUUAUUGUAUCUUGUGUAUCAGAGUUUAUUAAAAAUAAUUUUUAGUAAAAAAAAUCUCGAAUUUAAAAGAGAUAAUUAAUUAAUAAAGUUAUUGUAUCAAAAAUAUUUUUAAUAAUUAAUUUGAAAUGAAAUGUUAAUCGUUUUUAAAUAUAUCUAGUUUUUUUAGAAAUAAAUUUAAUUUAUAAUUUAUAAAAGAAAAAAUUAAAUAUUUAAUUUUUUCUUUUAUAAAUUAAAUAUUUUAAGGGAUAAGCUUUAAAUUAAAUUUUUAUAAUUAAAAGAAUUUUUAUUUAAAAUUUUUUAGAAUUUAUAUUGUUAAUAAAUUAUAUUUUUUUAUAAAAAAAUUUAUUUUAUUUAAAAAAUUUAAUUUAAUUUAAUUUUUUAUAAAAAAAUAAAUUUUAAUAAAAUAAAUUUAAUUAUAAUGAUAAAAUUAGUAUAAAAUUUAAUUUUAUUUGUUAAUUUAAAUAUAAAAUAAUAUUUAUUAUAUAAUUUUAUUUUUAUUAAAUAAGAUAUAAUUAAUAAAAAUUUUAAUAAAUUAAAUAAAAGGAAUUCGGCAAAUAUAUAUAUUCACUUGUUUAACAAAAACAUGUCUUUUUGGUAAUAAUUUAAAGUCGAAUCUGCCCACUGAUAUUAUAUUAAAGGGCUGCAGUAUAUUGACUGUACAAAGGUAGCAUAAUCAUUAGUCUUUUAAUUGAAGACUUGUAUGAAAGAUUUGAUGAGAUAUAGACUGUCUCUAAUUUAUAAUUAGAAUUUAAUUUUUUAGUUAAAAAGCUAAAAUAGUUGUAAAAGACGAGAAGACCCUAUAGAGUUUUAUAUUAAAUUAAAUUUUAAUUUUAUGUAAUAUUUAUAAAAAAAUUUUUUUUUAGUAUUUUAUUGGGGUGAUAGAAAAAUUUAAUAAACUUUUUUUUAUAAUUAACAUUGAUAAUUGAAAAAAUGAUCCAUAAUUUAUGAUUAUAAGAAUAAAUUACCUUAGGGAUAACAGCGUAAUUUUUUUUUUUAGUUCAAAUAAAAAAAAAAGUUUGCGACCUCGAUGUUGGAUUAAGAUAAAAUUUAAAUGCAGAAGUUUAAAAUUUUGAUCUGUUCGAUCAUUAAAAUCUUACAUGAUCUGAGUUCAAACCGGUGUAAGCCAGGUUGGUUUCUAUCUUUAUAGAAAUAAAAUAUUUUAGUACGAAAGGAUUAAAUAUUUAAAAUAAUUUUAUGAAAAGAAUAAUAUUAAUUAGUAUUUAUAAAUUUAUAUA